RNAcentral lists this transfer RNA (73 nucleotides) under Ictidomys tridecemlineatus (thirteen-lined ground squirrel). RNAcentral's name for it is "Spermophilus tridecemlineatus (thirteen-lined ground squirrel) tRNA". It matches the Rfam family "tRNA". Rfam says of the family: Transfer RNA (tRNA) molecules are approximately 80 nucleotides in length. Their secondary structure includes four short double-helical elements and three loops (D, anti-codon, and T loops). Further hydrogen bonds mediate the characteristic L-shaped molecular structure. tRNAs have two regions of fundamental functional importance: the anti-codon, which is responsible for specific mRNA codon recognition, and the 3' end, to which the tRNAs corresponding amino acid is attached (by aminoacyl-tRNA synthetases). tRNAs cope with the degeneracy of the genetic code in two manners: having more than one tRNA (with a specific anti-codon) for a particular amino acid; and 'wobble' base-pairing, i.e. permitting non-standard base-pairing at the 3rd anti-codon position. Lineage: Eukaryota; Metazoa; Chordata; Mammalia; Rodentia; Sciuridae. The record is from Rfam by way of RNAcentral.
GGGGAUAUAGCUCAGUUGGUAGAGUGCUUGCCUUGCAUGCAUGAGGCCCUGGAUUGAAUCCCCAGCACCAUCC